Molecule: ribosomal RNA, 496 nt
Filed under: uncultured bacterium
Lineage: Bacteria
Description: partial 16S ribosomal RNA
Rfam family: Bacterial small subunit ribosomal RNA
Source: RNAcentral
GAUGAACGCUGGCGGCGUGCCUAAUACAUGCAAGUCGAGCGAACGGACGAGAAGCUUGCUUCUCUGAUGUUAGCGGCGGACGGGUGAGUAACACGUGGAUAACCUACCUAUAAGACUGGGAUAACUUCGGGAAACCGUAGCUAAUACCGGAUAAUAUUUUGAACCGCAUGGUUCAAAAGUGAAAGACGGUCUUGCUGUCACUUAUAGAUGGAUCCGCGCUGCAUUAGCUAGUUGGUAAGGUAACGGCUUACCAAGGCAACGAUGCAUAGCCGACCUGAGAGGGUGAUCGGCCACACUGGAACUGAGACACGGUCCAGACUCCUACGGGAGGCAGCAGUAGGGAAUCUGCCGCAAUGGGCGAAAGCCUGACGGAGCAACGCCGCGUGAGUGAUGAAGGUCUUCGGAUCGUAAAACGCUGUUAUUAGGGAAGAACAUAUGUGUAAGUAACUGUGCACAUCUUGACGGUACCUAAUCAGAAAGCCACGGCUAACUACGU